GACGAACGCUGGCGGCGUGCUUAACACAUGCAAGUCGAACGGUAAGGCCCUUCGGGGUACACGAGUGGCGAACGGGUGAGUAACACGUGGGCGAUCUGCCCUGCACUUCGGGAUAAGCCUGGGAAACUGGGUCUAAUACCGGAUAGGACCACUGCCUGCAUGGGUGGUGGUGGAAAGCUUUUGCGGUGUGGGAUGGGCCCGCGGCCUAUCAGCUUGUUGGUGGGGUGAUGGCCUACCAAGGCGACGACGGGUAGCCGGCCUGAGAGGGUGACCGGCCACACUGGGACUGAGAUACGGCCCAGACUCCUACGGGAGGCAGCAGUGGGGAAUAUUGCACAAUGGGCGCAAGCCUGAUGCAGCGACGCCGCGUGAGGGAUGACGGCCUUCGGGUUGUAAACCUCUUUCAGCACUGACGAAGCGCAAGUGACGGUAGGUGCAGAAGAAGGACCGGCUAACUACGUGCCAGCCGCCGCGGUAA
This 478-nucleotide ribosomal RNA is filed under the name uncultured bacterium. RNAcentral describes it as "partial 16S ribosomal RNA". It matches the Rfam family "Bacterial small subunit ribosomal RNA", at positions 28 to 523 of the family's 1533-position model. The record is from RNAcentral.